AAAAAAAAAGUGUUGAAAAACCCGCUGGCAUAUUGAAAAAAUUGUAAUUUUCUUCUCUCUCUGUGAGUGUGAGUGUAGGUUGGAUGUUCCAGACGAGCAGACUCACGCUAGCUUCCACUUUACCACGGUUGCGUGAAAAAAACAAAAGAAGUAGAAGUUGCUGACUGUUGUUGGAAGGUUUCGACCUUGGCUGUGUGUGUUGGAUAUUAUUCAACCACGCGCUGUGCGGCCGUGAUUGCACACACGCAGAGGAAAAAAAAAACGACACCACCGUCGAGAACGAAAGCCCUAAAGCCCCAAAUAAGACUUUGUGUGUGUACGAAAGAAGAAGAAGAAGAAUCUUUUCGCUCUUUGGCUGAUGCUGCUGUUGUCCAUCUGUCAAGUUCAACCGACAAUUUUUCCUAUCGGUUGUUUGUGCAGCUGCGGGACCCAGCCAGGCACGCAUCGCGCCAUUUUCAAAAAGGAGAGAAACACACGCAAUCAAAUAGGACCUUCACCUGUCGAUGGGUCAAAACGAUUUUCCCUACCUCAUCGCCCUUUUUUUUCUUUUUUUGACAAGUUUAUCAUGGAAAA
Daphnia pulex (common water flea) is the source of this 573-nucleotide long non-coding RNA. RefSeq lists it as uncharacterized. NCBI's taxonomy places the organism in Eukaryota, Metazoa, Arthropoda, Branchiopoda, Diplostraca, Daphniidae. The record is from RefSeq and is a predicted model, not a curated record. The transcript has 3 exons.